Molecule: long non-coding RNA, 251 nt
Filed under: Homo sapiens (human)
Lineage: Eukaryota; Metazoa; Chordata; Mammalia; Primates; Hominidae
Description: non-protein coding lnc-TBX19-1:1
Source: RNAcentral
GACAGUUUUAGGUGUCCCUGUGAUUUCAUCUCCAGCCAAUCGUUUCAGUUCUCCAGCCCCCUUCCUGCCAAAGUACCUAGGCUACUGAAAUAAAACUGGCGUCUGGGAAACCCGGAGGCCAGAGCAACUGGUCAGGCCCAGAUUUCCCAUUCUGGACACUUCAUUUGGCUGGAGUCAUGUGAUGUAUGGUCUUUUGUGACUAGCUUCUUUCACUUAGAGGAUCCUUGAUGCUGUGGCGUAUAUCAGUACUG